UACGAAGGGGGCUAGCGUUGCUCGGAAUCACUGGGCGUAAAGUGCGUGUAGGCGGGUCUUUAAGUCAGGGGUGAAAUGCCAAGGCUCAACCUUGGAACUGCCUUUGAUACUGGAGAUCUUGAGUCCGGGAGAGGUGAGUGGAACUGCGAGUGUAGAGGUGAAAUUCGUAGAUAUUCGCAAGAACACCAGUGGCGAAGGCGGCUCACUGGCCCGGAACUGACGCUGAGACGCGAAAGCGUGGGGAGCAAACAGG
This 253-nucleotide ribosomal RNA is filed under the name uncultured bacterium. Its description in RNAcentral is "partial 16S ribosomal RNA". It matches the Rfam family "Bacterial small subunit ribosomal RNA", at positions 524 to 776 of the family's 1533-position model. The record is from RNAcentral.